CCUACGGGGUGCUGCAGUGGGGAAUAUUGGACAAUGGGCGAAAGCCUGAUCCAGCCAUGCCGCGUGUGUGAAGAAGGCCUUCGGGUUGUAAAGCACUUUCAGUGGGGAAGAAAGCCUUGGGGUUAAUACCCUCGAGGAAGGACAUCACCCACAGAAGAAGCACCGGCUAACUCCGUGCCAGCAGCCGCGGUAAUACGGAGGGUGCGAGCGUUAAUCGGAAUUACUGGGCGUAAAGCGCGCGUAGGCGGUCUGAUAAGCCGGUUGUGAAAGCCCCGGGCUCAACCUGGGAACGGCAUCCGGAACUGUCAGGCUAGAGUGCAGGAGAGGAAGGUAGAAUUCCCGGUGUAGCGGUGAAAUGCGUAGAGAUCGGGAGGAAUACCAGUGGCGAAGGCGGCCUUCUGGACUGACACUGACGCUGAGGUGCGAAAGCGUGGGUAGCAAACAGGAUUAGAUACCCUAGUAGUC
Molecule: ribosomal RNA, 465 nt
Filed under: Vreelandella stevensii
Lineage: Bacteria; Pseudomonadati; Pseudomonadota; Gammaproteobacteria; Oceanospirillales; Halomonadaceae
Description: partial 16S ribosomal RNA
Rfam family: Bacterial small subunit ribosomal RNA
Source: RNAcentral